Molecule: ribosomal RNA, 460 nt
Filed under: uncultured bacterium
Lineage: Bacteria
Description: partial 16S ribosomal RNA
Rfam family: Bacterial small subunit ribosomal RNA
Source: RNAcentral
CCUACGUGAGGCAGCAGUGAGGAAUAUUGGUCAAUGGGCGCGAGCCUGAACCAGCCACGUAGCGUGAAGGAUGACUGCCCUACGGGUUGUAAACUUCUUUUAUAAAGGAAUAAAGUGAGGCACGUGUGCCUUUUUGUAUGUACUUUAUGAAUAAGGAUCGGCUAACUCCGUGCCAGCAGCCGCGUUAAUACGGAGGAUCCGAGCGUUAUCCGGAUUUAUUGGGUUUAAAGGGCGCGUAGAUGGGUUGUUAAGUCAGUUGUGAAAGUUUGCGGCUCAACCGUAAAAUUGCAAUUGAUACUGGCAGUCUUGAGUACAGUUGAGGUAGGCGGAAUUCGUGGUGUAGCGGUGAAAUGCUUAGAUAUCACGAAGAACUCCGAUUGCGAAGGCAGCUUACUAAACUGCCACUGACAUUGAUGCUCGAAAGUGUGGGUAUCAAACAGGAUUAGAUACCCCGGUAGUC